RNAcentral lists this ribosomal RNA (3264 nucleotides) under Meloidogyne incognita (southern root-knot nematode). Its description in RNAcentral is "eukaryotic LSU rRNA". It matches the Rfam family "Eukaryotic large subunit ribosomal RNA". The record is from RNAcentral. Lineage: Eukaryota; Metazoa; Nematoda; Chromadorea; Rhabditida; Meloidogynidae.
CUUUGACCUGAACUCAGUCGAGAGCACCCGCUGAACUUAAGCAUAUCAGUAAGCGGAGGAAAAGAAACUAAACAGGAUUCCCCCAGUAACGGCGAGUGAACAGGGAAAUGUCCAUCGCUAAAUCAUUUUGCCUCAGGCAUUAUGAGGUGUAGCGUAUAAGCCGUAAUUUUUGAUCAAGUGUCUCAAACAAGUCCCCUUGACAGGGGUUCCACAGAAGGUGCAAGUCCUGUACAUUGAGAUAAUUGAUCGAUAUUUGCGUGCUUUAGAGUCGGGUUGUUUGGGAUCGCAGCCCAAAGUCGGUGGUAAACUUCAUCUAAGACUCAAUAUUGCCACGAGACCGAUAGCAAACAAGUACUGUGAAGGAAAGUUGCAAAGCACUUUGAAGAGAGAGUUAAAGAGGACGUGAAACCGGUGAGGUGGAAACGGAUAGAGUCGGCGUAUCUUUCAAGUAUUCAUUUACAUUAUUUUUAUGUUGUGAUCUCUGAGCUCCAGAUUGGGACAGAGGGAAGCAGCAUAAUUUUCUGUGAUGCAUUUACUUGUUUGGUGCUUGGGGAUGUUUGAGGCGGAUUUGUAACCGCCGUUUUGAGGCCAGCUUGCUGGUACCCAAACGGUGUUAGCAUUUUUUGUUUUGUACAUUUGAGUAUGGCUUCGGGCAUUUAUUGGUUCGAUCUGAGUGUAAGUUACGGUCGCAUGCGACACGUGCUUUUCAAUUAGUUCGGUCCAGUUAAUGCUCUCGUACUCGCUCCCCAUGUAAAAGCCGGUCAUCUAUCCGACCCGUCUUGAAACACGGACCAAGGAGUUUAUCGUGUGCGCAAGUUUUUGGGUGUUAAAAACCUAAAGGCGAAAUGAAAGUAAAUGGCUCUUUAGAGUCUGAUGUGCGAUCUUGUAAAAAAGUGCAGCAUGGCCCCAUUCUAACUGUUUACAGCAGGGUGGCGGAAGAGCGUACGCGGUGAGACCCGAAAGAUGGUGAACUAUUCCUGAGCAGGACGAAGCCAGAGGAAACUCUGGUGGAAGUCCGAAGCGGUUCUGACGUGCAAAUCGAUCGUCUGACUUGGGUAUAGGGGCGAAAGACUAAUCGAACCAUCUAGUAGCUGGUUCCCUCUGAAGUUUCCCCCAGGAUAGCUGGAGCUCACGAGUAGUUAUACUCGGUAAAGCGAAUGAUUAGAGGACUUGGGAACGAAAUGUUCUUAACCUAUUCUCAAACUCUAAAUGGGUAUGAUGUCAAAGUUGCUUGAUUUUGAACUUUGGCGUUGAAUACGAGCUCCAAGUGGGCCAUUUUUGGUAAGCAGAACUGGCGAUGUGGGAUGAACCAAACGCGGAGUUGCGGUGCCAAAGUGCCCGCUCAUUAGACCCCAUAAAAGGUGUUGGUUGAUACAGACAGCAGGACGGUGGCCAUGGGAGUCGGAAUCCGCUAAGGAGUGUGUAACAACUCACCUGCCGAAUCAACUAGCCCUGAAAAUGGAUGGCGCUGGAGCGGGCCACCUAUACUCUGCCGUCAUAUGCUUGUAUUCCGUGAAGAGUCUUGCAAUGACGUGUAAGAGGGUCGUAGUGGUUGCGUUGAAGGCUUUGGGUGUGCACCCAGCUGGAGCUUCCACUAGUGCAGAUCUUGGUGGUAGUAGCAAAUAUUCAAGUGAGAUCCUUGAAGACUGAAGUGGAGAAGGGUUCCACGUGAACAGCAGUUGAAUGUGGGUCAGUCGAUCCUAAGGCACCGGCUAAAGCCGUCUAGACACUGCGGGGAGAUGAGAUACUUAACGGUAUUUUGUCCACCCGGUUGCCGAAAGGGAAGUGGGUUAAUAUUCCCACACCAGGCAUGGGAGAUGGUGAUCCGCAAGGAUUACUUUGCGCGGUGACGCAAACGAACUCGUAGACCUCGUGUGGAGUCCGGGCCAGAGUUCUCUUUUCUGGUUUAGAGAUCAUGUCCCUGGAAGUGGCUCAGCCUGAGAUAGGGAUGCUGGUCUCGUAAAGCGCAGCGGUUCCUGUUGUGUCCCGUGUGCUCCACAUGAGCCGUGAAAAUGCGAGGGAGGCAAUUUAAAAUCUCCUGCCUGAUCGUACCCAUAUCCGCAGCAGGUCUCCAAGGUGAACAGCCUCUAGUCGAUAGAAUAAUGUAGGUAAGGGAAGUCGGCAAAUUAGAUUCGUAACUUCGGGAAAAGAAUUGGCUCUAAAGGUUGGGUCAGUCGGGCUGUUGUGUGAAACAGGUGGACUUUGCUCGUGGCUGCUUGAGCUUCUCUUCGGGGCGGCGCUUGUGGACUAGUAGUGAGGACUGCUUGUGGAGCGCUUCAGCUGCGUGCUAUUUCGCAAGAUAUAGUACUUCGAUUGGCGCUGAACAACCAGUUUAGAACUGGCACGAACUCCGGGAAUCCGACUGUCUAAUUAAAACAGAGGAGACGGAUGGUCCUUGCAGGACGUUGACCGUGUCUGAUUUCUGCCCAGUGCUCUGAAUGUUAAGCCAAGGAAACUUGAUUAAGCGCGGGUAAACGGCGGGAGUAACUAUGACUCUCUUAAGGUAGCCAAAUGCCUCGUCGGCUAACUACCGACGCGCACGAAUGGAUCAACGAGAUUCCCACUGUCCCUAUCUACUAUCUAGCGAAACCACAGCCAAGGGAACGGGCUUGGCAAAUUUAGCGGGGAAAGAAGACCCUGUUGAGCUUGACUCUAGUCUGACUUUGUGAAGAAUCAUGAGAGGUGUAGCAUAAGUGGGAGUCGCAAGACAACAGUGAAAUACCACUACUUUCAUCGAUUCCUUACUUAAUCGGUAAAACGGGAGUUGUGUCUACGCACCUUCAUUUUUGUUUUAAGACUAGCCACUCGGUGGUUGGUUGACUCGCGCCGAUGACAUUGUCAGGCGGGGAGUUUGACUGGGGCGGUACAUCUGUCAAAUUGUAACGCAGGUGUCCUAAGGCGAGCUCAGAGAGGACGGAAACCUCUCGUUGAGCAAAAAGGCAAAUGCUUACUUGAUCUUGAUUUUCAGUACGAAUACAGACCGCGAAAGCGUGGCUUAUCGAGAGUACGAGACGAGAGGAACGAGAGGAACCGCAGGUUCAGACAUUUGGUUCAUGUGCCUGGUCGAUAGGCCAAUGGCGCGAAGCUACCAUCUGAGGGAUUAUGACUGAACGCCUCUAAGUCAGAAUCCCGCCCAGUCAUGAUAGCAAUAUAUAUCGCUCUCCGGUGUCGGAAGGCAAAAUGUAUGCCACUUUUUAGUGGUAGUACAAGCCCCAGUAUCUGGCAUUUUCCUUCUACUAUAAUUGGUAGCUGGUUGCUAAAAGC